AACGAACGCUGGCGGCAGGCUUAACACAUGCAAGUCGAACGCCCCGCAAGGGGAGUGGCCGACGGGUGAGUACCGCGUGGGAACAUACCCUUUUCUACGGAAUAGCUCUGGGAAACUGGAAUUAAUACCGUAUACGCCCUACGGGGGAAAGAUUUAUCGGGGAAGGAUUGGCCCGCGUUGGAUUAGCUUGUUGGUGGGGUAAAGGCCUACCAAGGCGACGAUCCAUAGCUGGUCUGAGAGGAUGAUCAGCCACAUUGUGACUGAGACACGGCCCAAACUCCUACGGGAGGCAGCAGUGGGGAAUAUUGGACAAUGGGCGCAAGCCUGAUCCAGCCAUGCCGCGUGAGUGAUGAAGGCCUUAGGGUUGUAAAGCUCUUUAACCGAUGAAGAUAAUGACGGUAGUCGGAGAAGAAGCCCCGGCUAACUUCGUG
RNAcentral lists this ribosomal RNA (431 nucleotides) under uncultured bacterium. RNAcentral's name for it is "partial 16S ribosomal RNA". It matches the Rfam family "Bacterial small subunit ribosomal RNA", at positions 29 to 507 of the family's 1533-position model. The record is from RNAcentral.